AUCUUCCGCAAUGGGCGAAAGCCUGACGGAGCAAUGCCGCGUGGAGGCAGAAGGCCCACGGGUCGUAAACUCCUUUUCUCGGAGAAGACGCAAUGACGGUAUCUUAGGAAUAAGCAUCGGCUAACUCUGUUCCAGCAGCCGCGGUAAGACAGGGGAUGCAAGCGUUAUCCGGAAUGAUUGGGCGUAAAGCGUCUGUAGGUGGCUCCUUAAGUCCGCUGUCAAAUCCCAGGGCUCAACCCCGGACAGGCAGUGGAAACUACUGGGCUGGAGUACGGUAGGGGCAGAGGGAAUUUCCGGUGGAGCGGUGAAAUGCGUAGAGAUCGGAAAGAACACCAAAGGCGAAGGCACUCUGCUGGGCCGACACUGACACUGAGAGACGAAAGCUAGGGGAGCAAAU
Molecule: ribosomal RNA, 397 nt
Filed under: uncultured bacterium
Lineage: Bacteria
Description: bacterial SSU rRNA
Rfam family: Bacterial small subunit ribosomal RNA
Source: RNAcentral